Molecule: unclassified non-coding RNA, 562 nt
Filed under: Cadophora sp. FMR 16056
Lineage: Eukaryota; Fungi; Ascomycota; Leotiomycetes; Helotiales; Ploettnerulaceae
Description: sequence contains ITS1, 5.8S rRNA gene and ITS2
Rfam family: 5.8S ribosomal RNA (bases 207-360)
Source: RNAcentral
CUUGCUUCGUGGCGUGCUACCCUACUUCGGUAGGGUUUAGAGUCGUAGCACCUCUCGGAGAAGUGCUGUCCUGAACUCCACCCUUGAAUAAAUUACCUUUGUUGCUUUGGCGGGCCGCCUAGCGCCAGCGGCUUCGGCUGUUGAGUGCCCGCCAGAGGACCACAACUCUUGUUUUUAGUGAUGUCUGAGUACUAUAUAAUAGUUAAAACUUUCAACAACGGAUCUCUUGGUUCUGGCAUCGAUGAAGAACGCAGCGAAAUGCGAUAAGUAAUGUGAAUUGCAGAAUUCAGUGAAUCAUCGAAUCUUUGAACGCACAUUGCGCCCUCUGGUAUUCCGGGGGGCAUGCCUGUUCGAGCGUCAUUAUAACCACUCAAGCUCUCGCUUGGUAUUGGGGUUCGCGGUUUCGCGGCCCCUAAAAUCAGUGGCGGUGCCUGUCGGCUCUACGCGUAUUAAUACUCCUCGCGAUUGAGUCCGGUAGGUUUACUCGCCAGCAACCCCCCAAUUUUUACAGGUUGACCUCGGAUCAGGUAGGGAUACCCGCUGAACUUAAGCAUAUCAAUAA